Molecule: small nuclear RNA, 24 nt
Filed under: Arabidopsis thaliana (thale cress)
Lineage: Eukaryota; Viridiplantae; Streptophyta; Magnoliopsida; Brassicales; Brassicaceae
Description: snRNA_01684
Source: RNAcentral
GUCUUGUCUCGUCUCGACUCUAGC